This 85-nucleotide transfer RNA is filed under the name Clostridiales bacterium. RNAcentral describes it as "tRNA-Leu". It matches the Rfam family "tRNA". From Rfam's summary of the family: Transfer RNA (tRNA) molecules are approximately 80 nucleotides in length. Their secondary structure includes four short double-helical elements and three loops (D, anti-codon, and T loops). Further hydrogen bonds mediate the characteristic L-shaped molecular structure. tRNAs have two regions of fundamental functional importance: the anti-codon, which is responsible for specific mRNA codon recognition, and the 3' end, to which the tRNAs corresponding amino acid is attached (by aminoacyl-tRNA synthetases). tRNAs cope with the degeneracy of the genetic code in two manners: having more than one tRNA (with a specific anti-codon) for a particular amino acid; and 'wobble' base-pairing, i.e. permitting non-standard base-pairing at the 3rd anti-codon position. Lineage: Bacteria; Bacillati; Bacillota; Clostridia; Eubacteriales. The record is from RNAcentral.
GCGGAUGUGGCGGAAUUGGCAGACGCGCUAGACUUAGGAUCUAGUGUUUCACGACGUGCAGGUUCGACCCCUGUCAUCCGCACCA